AUUCUGCCAGCAGGAGGGUUUAAGGCUCUGCUGCUCAGCUGUAAUUGGGACUGUGAGCAUUCAGUUAUUCCUUAAGUCCCUGGAAAGAAUUGCACUUCACACCAGGCCCCCAGAGUUAGUCCCCAAGUCAGGUGUGAUGGGUGACCCCUUUCCAGCAGGUUUGUUCUCCUCAGUGCAGGCAAAAAUGACUUUUCCUACAAUUUGGUGGUUCGUGGUUACCUUUUAAUGUAGCUCUCCCUUUAGCUUUGCAGUGAUUUUUAACCACUUGGGAGUUUUUCUGGCAAAAUGCAGGCUGAUGUGCCCAAACCCCUGGCAGAACAGCACCUGCAGCAUGGCACGUUGGCUGCCAGCUCCCUGCUGGCUCUGCCUGCUCAGUCCCACCCCUGCACACCCCACUCACGUCCCUGCUGGGCUGGGAGCCCUGGCUGCUGCUGCUGAGCUGUGUCACAUCUGUCACAGCUGCCACAGCUGGGGCUGCCUGAGCAGAGCAGGAUUUCCCUGCUGCAGCCAGGACACUGAAAGCAGUGUUGCACUGAGAAGUCAGGCUGGAAAUCACUCAGGUUUGGGGUUUCUGUUAAUUGGAGAAAGAGGUGGCCUGGGGGCUGCCCUGCACCCCUGGAAGUGGCCAAGGCCAGGUUGGGGGGGGCUUGGAGGAACCUGGGGUGAUGGGGGGUGUCCCUGCUCAUUAUGGGGUUCCAUGAAGGAACCUGCAGUAAAUAAGCUGCUUAAGCAACUGAAAAGUAGCUUUGAUUCUUAAAACAACUGACUUCUGAUUGUACUUUUGUCAGUAUAUUUAAAAUAUGAGGAUAAUUUAUUCCCAGGCUGAAGUCAGAAGUGGGGCUGGGCUCUGAAUCCUGACAGCACUUCACAAUGAAGUUAGCAGCAGCAGCAGCUGUGCUAAUGAGGCAGACUUCAAGGAAAGACUUAAUCUAAAUUUCCAAGUGUUUCAUAGUUUGACCAUAUUUAUUUUCUUUAAGAGCUUUAGGGUUUUCCUGGUUCUGAGGAAAUUGCUUCAAUGGUAGCAGACAGGGAGGGUUUGUUUUACCCCAGUUUAAUGGGAGAAAUCCUCAUCUUGUAAUUAACACCCAGCUGGGGCUCUUCAUGAGAAUUGGGCACGGCAAGCACCUGCCAGAGGGGACUGCCAAGCAGAGCAAAUUGGCCCAGGUGUGUGCUGUGAGCCCAGCACGGGAGCUGCCACGCAGGAGAGCAGGAAAGGAAAGCUGCUGAGGGAGGAUCCUCUCCAAAACUGGUGAAGGGACCUAGAAGAUCCAGCCUGCUCAGCUAAAAUCCCCUUGGGGAGGGGUUGAAGUGACUCUCAGGCUCACCUCCAUGCUAAAGCAUCCACCUUUUCCAGAUCAAUGUGUUUUUAAAGGAUUAAUAAUCUGAAUUAACACCACCACUGUCACAUAAGAGUGUCUGCUCUAAUAUUCACACCUGCACAUAAAAGCACUUACAGACUCACUAAUUCACAAUGUGCAGCUGCUGGUUUUAAUUUGAACCUUAACGAGUGGAAUGAGGGGACAAAAUUAAGGUGCCAGCAGUCCUCAUAGUGACCCCUGAGCAGGAAUUCUGAACUGUCUCAGGAUACUCUUGACUCCCUUGUCCGUGCACUGGGCUUUAGUAAUGCCUCAAAUUCUGAUUAGGGUGUUCAAGUAAGAAGCCCUAGAAUAUUCUAAUCAAAGGUUUUAUUAAAUAAUCCAGAUGUUUGACCAGCAUUCAGUAGGAACUGUAUUGGCAAGUGCAAUGGAGAUGCCCAGGAAGCCCCGACUGAGUGAGCUGGCCCUGGCCCGGCUGCUAAACUUGCUGUUCCCUUUUUGUGCAGACUCUAAUUCCAGUAUUCCAGAGCCACUUGCAAACCCUCCUCCAGAGCUUCCUGCAGAGCUGGCGGGCAGAGAGCUGCACAACCACCUGCUGCUGGACAUUGACAAUGACACGGAGAGCACGGCGCUGUGAGCAGCGCUCCGGCUUCCCUGGCUCCUCUCCGGGGGGAAAACCACAGACCUAACAGGGAAAGGCUUCUUCUGCAGCGUGGCACGGCUGGGCAGAGCUGGCCCUGGGGCCUCGUGGGGACACUGAGCUCCAGGGUGGCCGAGGUUGGAGGAGACCUCUCAGGAAAUCGAGCCCAACCUUUGGCCGCGCUCCGCUUUCGCCCUCAGAAGAAGUUUAAUGAUCUGGGUCUGGACAACGGUUUUCAAACCCUUGGAUGGAAGGAAUGAAUUCCUGCAGGAACUCGCCUAGGAAGCGUGGUCAGUGCUGAUACAGGUGGUGUUAGCAGAAAUUCCAAAAGAAUAAGAAGCAGAAGGUUAGUUAUUUAAAGUGCAUGUCUGUAUUACGGAAAUAAUCCUUGCCACGGCUCGGUUAGAGGUUCUUUGUAGUUCUUAGCCCGUAGCAGGAGCUGCCUCCCAAGGGACAUUCCCUCUCGGAUCUGCUGCAGAUUCCCCCAAGCCAUGAACCAAACCCCUGCCCCAGUGCUGGUGGUGACUGCUGGUUCUCAGUCACCUGUGGAACUGUGGAUGCAUCCAGUGCCUUGAAGGACUGUCGUGCUGUCGGAGGAACUUCUGUCUCUUUAAUCAUUUCAUUGCUACUUAGGAUCAGUACUUACCCUGAUUUCAUAGUUAUUUGUAUUAACCUGCUUUGUUCAUGUGCAACUGGCAACUGUUUCACGAGGAAACCGUGGAAAUGGGGUUUGUGCUUUUGUUGAAAACGGUUGAGUUUUGAAAGAACUUUGAAACAGCUGUUUGGAUUCAGAAGUUGAGUGAACAUUUAUAAAAUUAAAGAUUGUUUUUUGUCAA
Pyrgilauda ruficollis (rufous-necked snowfinch) is the source of this 2792-nucleotide long non-coding RNA. RefSeq lists it as uncharacterized. NCBI's taxonomy places the organism in Eukaryota, Metazoa, Chordata, Aves, Passeriformes, Passeridae. The record is from RefSeq and is a predicted model, not a curated record. The transcript is spliced from 2 exons.